RNAcentral lists this transfer RNA (66 nucleotides) under Amara ovata. RNAcentral describes it as "tRNA-Pro". The record is from RNAcentral. Lineage: Eukaryota; Metazoa; Arthropoda; Insecta; Coleoptera; Carabidae.
CAGAGAAUAGUUUAAAUAAAAUAUUAAUUUUGGAGAUUGAUGAUAAAAGAUUUCUUUUUUCUCUGA